UGCCAGCAGCCGCGGUAAUACAGAGGGUCCAAGCGUUGAUCGGAAUCACUGGGCUUAAAGGGUUCGCAGGCGGACUGGUAAGUAUGUUGUGAAAUCCCACGGCUCAACCGUGAAUUGCUUCGUAGACUGCUAGUCUUGAGCACGACAGGGGCCAUCAGAACGAUAGGUGGAGCGGUGAAAUGCGUAGAUAUCUAUCGGAAUGCCAAAGGUGAAGACAGAUGGCUGGGUCGUCGCUGACGCUCAGGAACGAAAGCAUGGGUAGCGAACGGGAUUAGAUA
Molecule: ribosomal RNA, 278 nt
Filed under: uncultured bacterium
Lineage: Bacteria
Description: partial 16S ribosomal RNA
Rfam family: Bacterial small subunit ribosomal RNA
Source: RNAcentral